Long non-coding RNA from Juglans microcarpa x Juglans regia, 190 nucleotides. RefSeq lists it as uncharacterized. Lineage: Eukaryota; Viridiplantae; Streptophyta; Magnoliopsida; Fagales; Juglandaceae. The transcript is spliced from 4 exons. The record is from RefSeq and is a predicted model, not a curated record.
UAUAAGAUUUCUAGAAGUACAAAGACAAGAGAGGAUCUGCUGUUUCCAGUCUAUGAUCACUUGAGAAACUCUCCAAGUUUGAAUAAACCCAACAAUAUUGAUAGAUGUAAUCAUAAGACACCAAGCUAUUGACUCUACUCGUAUUCAAGAAACGUCGACCAAUCUAAGUGGAGACACCUGUCGUGCUUGU